Molecule: ribosomal RNA, 545 nt
Filed under: Ceratoxancus cf. melichrous MNHN-IM-2013-40623
Lineage: Eukaryota; Metazoa; Mollusca; Gastropoda; Neogastropoda; Ptychatractidae
Description: partial 16S ribosomal RNA
Rfam family: Bacterial large subunit ribosomal RNA
Source: RNAcentral
GCCUGUUUAUCAAAAACAUGGCUCCUUGUAAAAGAUAAAUAGGGAGUCGGACCUGCCCGGUGAAAAUUUUUAACGGCCGCGGUACCCUGACCGUGCAAAGGUAGCAUAAUCAUUUGCCUUAUAAUUGAAGGCUAGUAUGAAGGGUUUGACAAGAAUAUAGCUGUCUCUUUAUGAUUUAGUAGAAUUUUAUUUAUAGGUGAAGAAGCCUAUAUUAUAUUAAAAGACAAGAAGACCCUAUCGAGCUUUAAAAAAAUUAAUAGAUUUAGGCUUAAAUGAUAUUCAAAAAUUUAACUAUUAAAAAUUUUGGUUGGGGCGACUAAGGAACAGAAAAAGCUUCUUUUAAAGAAAAAACAUUCAGGUAAUGAUCCAGAAUUAUUCUGAUUAAAGAAAUUAGUUACCGUAGGGAUAACAGCAUAAUCUUUUUUGAGAGCUCUUAUUGAAAAAAAGGUUUGUGACCUCGAUGUUGGACCAGAAUAUCCUAAAGAUGCAGCAGUCUUUAAGGGUUGGUCUGUUCGACCAUUAAAAUUCUACGUGAUCUGAGUUCA